Molecule: long non-coding RNA, 327 nt
Filed under: Aquila chrysaetos chrysaetos
Lineage: Eukaryota; Metazoa; Chordata; Aves; Accipitriformes; Accipitridae
Description: lncRNA (ENSACCG00020003809.1)
Source: RNAcentral
GAUCUAAAUUCUUAUUCUUGAAAAUGGAUUCCAGAAAACAACAUAAAAACUCAAAUUAUAAUAUGGAUUGGAUCUGAUUAUGACUUGAGAGAAAAUCUAUGGAGCAAUAGUAUCCUUCUUAAAAUGCUAGCCCUUCACUGAACUGUUGUGCCGGGAACUUCAAAUAUGCAAGGAUUUUCUGAGUUGCUUCAUAUUUCUCUUGAAGUGCAGCAGAACUUAAGAAAAUGCUUUGCCUGUGUCUGAGCUAAGAUGGAUUAAGGUAUGAUUAAGUGUACUCCAAAGUGAAGUGCUGGAUUUUAUAAAUGUUAACCUGAUAAGACUGUUUUU